UCAAAUUUGACGGCAGAUCUCUAAUUGCUUCAAUUUUAUAAAAAUAAGGAUCCAAUUGAGAUUUUAAAAAAGAAAGGGACGUAAUUGAGAUUCAGGGCGAAAAUAUGAACCUACCGAGAUAUUAAACCUAAUAUUUAAUGUGAUGGUUAAAAUUUUUAACUUUCUCUAACUUCCAACUACUUCAUUAAUGAUCCCACCAAUAUAUGAAUGCACUUCCACACUCCACCACUUCUAAGGAAAUCAAAUUCCUCUUCUUUUCCUUCUCCCAAUAUAUGAAUGCACCCCACACUCUACCACUUCCACAGAAAUCAAAUUCUUCUUCUUUUCCUUCUUGUUGUCUCCUUUAAAAAUAAAACAACUCAAAACAAAAUCAAUUAACUUUAAUUAAAUUAAUAAUAAUUAAUUUCAUUAAAUAAAACAAAAAUUAAUUUAAUUAUAAAUACAUAAUUUACUUAAAAUACAAUUAUAAU
Molecule: long non-coding RNA, 470 nt
Filed under: Vigna radiata
Lineage: Eukaryota; Viridiplantae; Streptophyta; Magnoliopsida; Fabales; Fabaceae
Description: long non-coding RNA (VRAD_LNC002026)
Source: RNAcentral